CAAACCCUACCUACUCCCCUCCUUCAUAAUUCACAGAUAUCUCCUCUAAUAAAUCUCUUUCAGACUUAAUGCCAUAUUGCCAUCUGUUUUGUAGAGAACCUAGAUUAACAUGGAUAACUUUUUAAAAACAACCUACAGUUUUUCAGAAAAUGUCAUACAAUGCUUGUUUUUUUUUUUAGUAUAAUCAUAGUUUAAACACUUUUAUAUCGCUUGAGGGAUUUCUGGGAAUUUAUAUGUUGAUUUUUAUGUACAAGGCUCAUGCCAUGGAGUGUUGUACAAGGCUCAUGCCAUGGAGUGUUGUACAUAAUGAGUGUUUGGUUAGAUUGAAUUAUGUCUACUAGGUCCCAGUUGCUGAGAUCUACAAUGUGUCAAAAUAUAUAUAUUACCUAUUAUUAAACUUGUAAGAGCAAGCAUAAAGCCACAUUCUGCUAGUAAAUAACAAAUGUUCAUUGGAUAGUUUGCAGUGAGAAAACUUUGUCAUAGCAAUUGUUAAUGAUAGUAUAUUAGUAAUUUGAUAAUUUCAGAACAGGACAGUAAUUUUUCUAAAUAAAAGAUAAGAAUGGCAGUGA
Molecule: long non-coding RNA, 569 nt
Filed under: Pan troglodytes (chimpanzee)
Lineage: Eukaryota; Metazoa; Chordata; Mammalia; Primates; Hominidae
Description: lincRNA
Source: RNAcentral